AUACGGAGGGGGCUAGCGUUGUUCGGAAUUACUGGGCGUAAAGGGCGUGUAGGCGGAUCGAUCAGUCGAAUGUGAAAGCCCUCGGCUUAACCGGGGAAGUGCAUACGAAACUGUCGGGCUGGAGUAUGGGAGAGGAUUGCGGAAUUCCCGGUGUAGAGGUGAAAUUCGUAGAUAUCGGGAGGAACACCAGUGGCGAAGGCGGCAAUCUGGACCAAUACUGACGCUGAGGUGCGAAAGCGUGGGGAGCAAACAGGAUUAGAAACCCCGGUAGUCC
RNAcentral lists this ribosomal RNA (274 nucleotides) under uncultured bacterium. Its description in RNAcentral is "partial 16S ribosomal RNA". It matches the Rfam family "Bacterial small subunit ribosomal RNA", at positions 523 to 796 of the family's 1533-position model. The record is from RNAcentral.